Molecule: transfer RNA, 72 nt
Filed under: Deltaproteobacteria bacterium
Lineage: Bacteria; Pseudomonadati; Myxococcota; Myxococcia
Description: tRNA-Glu
Rfam family: tRNA
About the family: Transfer RNA (tRNA) molecules are approximately 80 nucleotides in length. Their secondary structure includes four short double-helical elements and three loops (D, anti-codon, and T loops). Further hydrogen bonds mediate the characteristic L-shaped molecular structure. tRNAs have two regions of fundamental functional importance: the anti-codon, which is responsible for specific mRNA codon recognition, and the 3' end, to which the tRNAs corresponding amino acid is attached (by aminoacyl-tRNA synthetases). tRNAs cope with the degeneracy of the genetic code in two manners: having more than one tRNA (with a specific anti-codon) for a particular amino acid; and 'wobble' base-pairing, i.e. permitting non-standard base-pairing at the 3rd anti-codon position.
Source: RNAcentral
GGCCCCAUAGUCUAGCGGUUAGGACGUUGGGUUCUCAUCCCAAAAACCCGGGUUCGAUUCCCGGUGGGGUCA